CAACGUAUUUAGACCGUUUUCCCGAAAUGCCUCGAUUACAUUCCAUAUAUCGACGUUGUGCACUGCAUAUAAUAAUGUAUACAUUAACACAGAAAUAUCCUGGAAUAUCUACAUAAUAGGUGACAAAGAUUCGGACUUCAUCAUUCAUUCUUGUGCGGUGCGAUACGACGCAAAUCGAAUGGUGUCAAAGUUCUGCUGCCGCAUCUCCUGCAGGAGCUGCAAACGACUCGUCUCGCCG
Molecule: non-coding RNA, 238 nt
Organism: Linepithema humile (Argentine ant)
Lineage: Eukaryota; Metazoa; Arthropoda; Insecta; Hymenoptera; Formicidae
Source: RefSeq, a predicted model, not a curated record